Long non-coding RNA from Ahaetulla prasina, 2940 nucleotides. RefSeq lists it as uncharacterized. Lineage: Eukaryota; Metazoa; Chordata; Lepidosauria; Squamata; Colubridae. The record is from RefSeq and is a predicted model, not a curated record. The transcript is spliced from 3 exons.
GUCUUUCUCCCUCCUUCCACUCACCCUGGCGAGGAAAUGACCUAAGAGGAAGCCUCCGGCUGUGCAAACAAGGGGGAAGGGGGGGGGGAAACGCACCCCACUCAGCAGCUGAGUUUUAGGAGUUGCCGUCGGACCCCAAAGUGAGUGAAAAGCCAGAGCGGCCUGCCUGCCGGAGGGACGCGCGACAGCUGCUCGGGUCGGGUCAGCUGGGCGCUUCUGCCGGUAUCGGGGGGCCGCCGGGGCCAAUAGCCGAAGGAUGCCCAUCCUGCACUUGCACUCCAUGCUUGAGCUGCUGCCUUUCUUGCUGCUGCUGCUGCUCUUUUUGGUGGUGGGCUUUAUUCUGAUAUACAUCCAGCGACCCGAGCCGGAUCCCAAAAAGGUUUAGGGAUCCCGGGGGCGUUUUCCCGCGGCAAGAUGCCGGCGCGUCCCUGCUGACAUCGGAGGCGUGAAAGGCGAGAGAGCAGUGCCAUUGUAACGUUGAAUGGUCACUAGAUGAACUGUUGUAAGUCGAGGACGACCUGUAGAGCCAUCCACCCACACUCAAAGUCUUUGUGGUUGCUUUGUGGGACUGUGUCAACCAAUGUUUUAUGGAACAAUCUCAGAACAAUCAGCAGCCAUACUGACUGUUGACCGCUGUGCAGAGAAUAAUUCAUCUUGAAACCUAACUAGAGGUCAAAUGCUGUGAAUAGGAGAAAGGUUGGUAUGACUGCUCUGGUAUGUGUAUGUAACUGACUUAUCAGUUGGGAAUUCUCCAUGCAAUAACAAAGCUGGCUGUGCUCUCCCAUUAAUAGCAUUGCUGUAUAAUGACAGCAGUUGUCGCAAAAAGGGAGUUGUCAUACCCUUUAGUAAGUUCAUGGCAGUGCAUAUUGAUUGUCUAUACAUCGGGACUGUCAAACUUGCGGCCCAGAGGACAGAUGCGUCAUGCGCUGGCCACGCCCAUACCUGAUUUAGUGAAGGGGGAAAUGGUCCCAAUACGUCUUGUGACGCCGCCAUGAUGCAGCAAGUUUGACACCCCUGCUGUAUAUAGAGGCUUCUGUACCUCUAGCCAGUUCACCCAUUUUACACAAGUAAGUUUUUUAUUUUAUCUUUUGUUUGAUUGAUUGCCUGCCUUUUUAUUCAAGCAACACACCAACAGCUAGGUAUCACACUAGACUCUACACACCUAAACUCUGUUUUUCCAUACAGAGACAAUAGUAAAGCAAUAGAUUCCUGUGAGAGAGACUGCCUUCCAUAAAGUAAAAAAUUGAGGCAAGCCCCCAAACCACUCAGAAACUCAAUUCAGGGCACUAGUUUGAAGAUUUCCAUGGUCUGAGGGUCUGCCUGACUCCUUAUGCAUUUCUUUAUAUAUUGACAAGUGACCCCUCGCAGAUUCUGAAAAACAGAGAUCACCAUAAGAAUGCCUCAGUUACAGAAAGGCUUGGUGUCUCUUUGAUUAUAUCUUGUUGCUUAAUUUAUUUAUUUUCUCAAACCUUUGGAUUCUUUAAAAAUCUGUUUUAUUUUUGCUAAGGAAUUCAUACUCUGCUUUUCAUCUCCUGUUUCAAAUGAUGACUUUUUUAAAUUAUGGACUUUUUUUGGGAAGCCAUUUGAAAAAUGGUUUAUUAGUAAUUCAGUAUAAUUAUUUAUGUUUAAUAAUAGCUGCUAUGAAGCAUAAAAACUAAAGAAUAUUAACAACAGUGCUUUUUAAAAUAAUUGCUGUGUUUUGAUGAUACCAUAAAGCUAUCCAAAAGCAGACCUUUGAAUACUGCCUCCAACUAUUCCUUUUUGGAAUUGAGUUCACUGAAUUAGACUGUAAUUUGUUUAAUUCAUACUUUGAAUAUGUUCCAUUUAUCUCGGUUCAUGCAACAUACUAAGCCAGAACACCCAUAUUAUGGCUUAGUGUGGUGUGUGUCUUCCUGUGCUAUAGGACCUCCCUAUUUUUCUCAGUUCACUGGUAGCAAACCUCGCAGGAUUUUCUUAUCACAUUACUGAAAAUCAAGAAGGCUCAAGCAGAGCAUCUCAUACUAUGAAGCUGUGAAUUCCUGGGUGAAUCUGGGGGAGUUUACUUUUGUCUUUUUUAGGCUUGCACAAGAAAAUGCUUUUCCAGAGAGAAUACAAGUGUGAUCUGAAAGACUUCCAACUUUGCACAUGUUACUCUAUCUCCAGCAGGUGGCAGAGGUUUACUUUUUCCUAGUGCUUUGUUUCCUUGAAGGGGGGCUUGGUGGGCAAGGGGUGAUCAGAGUUAUAAGUAUGAAAAAGAGAAAAUACUGGCUCGCCUUUCUUCUCUCGUUUUCUGUCUUUUCUUGGCCCAACUGGAAAAAGUCAGGGAGCAAGGCAGGCAAGGAAUACUCCAGUUGUUCCACAUUUGUCUUUAGUAGAAGGAGAUGUACAUGUUCAAUUAGUAUGAUAGGAGCGGAAAUAAGUGCAAUAAGUAUUAUAAAUUGCCUGUCAGCCUUUUGAGGGUGCUGACCCCAGCGUUCCUCCCUCUUAGCCAAACAGGCUGGAGCUGCUGAUAGUUGCAAUUUCGCAGCUUCUGAAGGAUUACACAGAUUCAUUUGUUUUGGGGAGUCAUGAUACCAGAAUAAUCGGAAAUUCCUGAUAUGAUACCCUAAUUCAAAAAUGUUAAAUGGGAAAUACAGCGGUUAGGUAGCAGAAGAGGUACAAGCCAAGGUUUCAUUAAGUUAAAGGAGAAGAAUUCAAGACAAGGAAACAUAUUGAUGGAUGGAUUUCAGGAAUGGUACUUUACAAAGAAUUGUUAACAUUUGGGGGGGGGGGAGUAAACAAAGAACAGAUGAAAUUGAACAAGGAGAGUGAAACAGAGAUACUUUAACUAGGGGCUUAGAGAUGUAGGGACCAAGAAGUAGACUGCUCAAGAGUCCCCAAUACCAGAUGUUAACGAGGAAGUUAAUAAAAUAUUAACACAAUUGCUCUUCUUCUUUGAAUAUACCUUCCAACCUCUAUUCU